This 502-nucleotide ribosomal RNA is filed under the name uncultured bacterium. RNAcentral's name for it is "bacterial SSU rRNA". It matches the Rfam family "Bacterial small subunit ribosomal RNA", at positions 9 to 526 of the family's 1533-position model. The record is from RNAcentral.
GAGUUUGAUCAUGGCUCAGGACGAACGCUGGCGGCGUGCUUAACGCAUGCAAGUCGAGCGAUGAAGCUUCCUUCGGGAAGUGGAUUAGCGGCGGACGGGUGAGUAACACGUGGGCAACCUGCCUCAAAGAGGGGAAUAGCCCUCCGAAAGGAGGAUUAAUACCGCAUAAAGUUAGAGUUUCGCAUGAAACUUUAACCAAAGGAGUAAUCUGCUUUGAGAUGGGCCCGCGUCCCAUUAGCUAGUUGGUAAGGUAAUGGCUUACCAAGGCAACGAUGGGUAGCCGACCUGAGAGGGUGAUCGGCCACAUUGGAACUGAGACACGGUCCAGACUCCUACGGGAGGCAGCAGUGGGGAAUAUUGCGCAAUGGGGGAAACCCUGACGCAGCAACGCCGCGUGGGUGAUGAAGGUUUUCGGAUCGUAAAACCCUGUUUUCUGGGACGAUAAUGACGGUACCAGAUGAGGAAGCCACGGCUAACUACGUGCCAGCAGCCGCGGUAAUAC